AUGGAUAUCGAGGCUUCGAUCUGAUCAGAAGCUUCUUGAUCUCAUCAGGAUGCUAGCUCCCUUACAGAGAUCAUAUCUUGACAGUUGAAAAUUUUUUUUUCUCUCAAGAUACUCUUAGAGAAGAAGAAGAAAAUAGAAGGAUGAUGAUCUCUACGCUAGAGAUCAUGAAAAGAACACUUUCUUCUCUUUUCUUCCUAAAAUUCAUGCAACAAAUUUCUAUGAUAG
This 225-nucleotide long non-coding RNA is filed under the name Elaeis guineensis (African oil palm). Its description in RNAcentral is "long non-coding RNA (EGUI_LNC057901)". Lineage: Eukaryota; Viridiplantae; Streptophyta; Magnoliopsida; Arecales; Arecaceae. The record is from RNAcentral.